UACAGAGGUCUCAAGCGUUGUCCGGAAUUAUUGGGCGUAAAGAGCUCGUAGGCGGCUUGUCGCGUCGUCCGUGAAAACCUGCGGCUCAACUGCAGGCUGGCGGUCGAUACGGGCAGGCUGGAGUUCGGUAGGGGAGACUGGAAUUCCUGGUGUAGCGGUGAAAUGCGCAGAUAUCAGGAGGAACACCGGUGGCGAAGGCGGAUCUCUGGGCCAUAACUGACGCUGAGGAGCGAAAGCAUGGGGAGCGAACAGG
RNAcentral lists this ribosomal RNA (253 nucleotides) under uncultured bacterium. Its description in RNAcentral is "partial 16S ribosomal RNA". It matches the Rfam family "Bacterial small subunit ribosomal RNA", at positions 524 to 776 of the family's 1533-position model. The record is from RNAcentral.